GUGAAUCAUCGAAUUUUUGAACGCAAAUUGCACUCUCUGGUAUUCCGGAGGGGAUGCCUGGUUGAGGGGCAGGUUAAAUAAAAAACGGUGUGGGUGCUGCCUUUCGUGGUGACGCACCGGGUUUUGGUCGUCUUGCCGUCGGUUAAGUGACCUAAAAUUUUGCAUGAUGUUUUCGAAGGUAGUUUAAUGGUUUUACGUACGUGUUCGCUAUCGAGUAAUAA
RNAcentral lists this unclassified non-coding RNA (221 nucleotides) under Glomus sp. RNAcentral's name for it is "partial contains 5.8S ribosomal RNA and internal transcribed spacer 2". The stretch from base 1 to 71 matches the Rfam family "5.8S ribosomal RNA", at positions 84 to 154 of the family's 154-position model. The record is from RNAcentral. Lineage: Eukaryota; Fungi; Glomeromycota; Glomeromycetes; Glomerales; Glomeraceae.